RNAcentral lists this ribosomal RNA (325 nucleotides) under uncultured eukaryote. RNAcentral describes it as "partial 18S ribosomal RNA". It matches the Rfam family "Eukaryotic small subunit ribosomal RNA", at positions 1470 to 1796 of the family's 1831-position model. The record is from RNAcentral.
CCCUUAGAUGUCCUGGGCCGCACGCGCGCUACACUGAGUGUCUGAGAUACGAGUCUGCCUGGUCCGGCAAGGUCUAGGUAAUCGCUAAAAGACACAUCAUGCUUGGGAUAGAUUAUUGCAAAUAUUAAUCUUGAACGAGGAAUUCCUAGUAGACGUAGUUCAUCAGACUGCAUCGAUUACGUCCCUGCCCUUUGUACACACCGCCCGUCGCUCCUACCGAUUGGAUGAUCCGGUGAGCUAUUCGGACUUUCGCAUUGUCGAUUUUCGGCUUUACGAGGGAAAGUCUCGCGAACCUUAUCAUCUAGAGGAAGGAGAAGUCGUAACA